Grus americana (Whooping crane) is the source of this 1268-nucleotide long non-coding RNA. RefSeq lists it as uncharacterized. Lineage: Eukaryota; Metazoa; Chordata; Aves; Gruiformes; Gruidae. The transcript has 5 exons. The record is from RefSeq and is a predicted model, not a curated record.
GCCCAGAGUACCAAAGGGGCUACAACUGUCACAACGGCUUCUAAUAAUGGGAGAAAAAGAACAGAAAGGGCUGAGUUCCUGAGCAGGAGCUGGAAUCGCCCAGCGCAGCAUUACGCCGCCUCUGAAACACGGCGGAUCACUGUGCGACUGACUGCUCCCUGUGCAGAACUCGAGAGGCAGCAUACGCAAUACAGGGAACAUGCCAAAAAAAAAGUGGAAGAGUUCAUCAUUUUCUGCUGUGGAUUUGAGCCUGCAGCAGACCCGUGCACCCAGAGAGUAAUGAAGCCUCCUCUGGUGUAAUCCACAGCACGGGAAAGAGGAGAAUGAAGAGCAGAGGAAUUCGUAAAAUGUUGACCUCCUCUGGGGCAAGCAGUGAACAGGCUUGUGGCGGACCCACACGGAGUUUGGACUUUGCAGAUAGGGACAAGGACUUUUCCUCUGCUGAAGAGCUAUAUUAUCUACCAUAAAGAAAAGCAUGCUGGUGUGAGAUAUUCUCAUUAGCCCGUUCUGCUUAGCAGGUGUGCUGCUGCCAGCUGUGCCAGCUGCAGCUUAGUGGUGGCCCUCAGAGUCAAGCCAAGGUACAGUCAAGGUACAGCACAGCAGCAAUCAGCUCUUUUGUGAUAGGAACACAGUCCUUCAGAUAAUCACCCAUAAAGUUCACUGUAUGUAAACAUUUUGACUGUUUUAACUGCUAUGCAGCACCCAAAAAUAGCGAAAAAGUAGCUGGAAACAAGGAUUCAAUAGGAAGUUGUAAAUAGUCUUAAAAUACCAGGAAAAUUAUGCUGGAUAAUUAACAGCAAAAGACAGCAUAUAGCAUCACUAGCUGUCAAAGAUGUAGAAAUUGUACUUCAGAAGUUUUUGUAGUGCCAAAAAAAGUGUAGCUGAAGAAAUGCAACUACAGAUUAUCUAAAAUCACAUUUGCAAGAACUGGAAAGUGAAUCUUCUUAGUGGCUUAUUGCUAUAUAUGUUGUUCCAUCAGUCACUUUACAUUAUUCCUCAUGUCAAGGUGUUAGUGUCAAAAAUUGCCUUUUACUCAUGCAUUCUUUUAGUAGGUAAGAAAGCUGAUUAACUUAUUUAGGAGGUAAUUACCUAGACAAGAAUUAAGAGUUAGACUGUCCCUGGAUCUUUCACAUAAGCUCAAAGGUAAAAAAAAAAAAGAGCAGCUGCCGUAGUUCUCUUGCCUCUGAGCAAUGGUUCAGUUCAGGAUAAGACCCUUAUGCCUUCAUGAGCAAAAUUUUUUAUCAGAUUAUGUUAAUACCAAAAAAGAU